This is a long non-coding RNA of Mus caroli (Ryukyu mouse), 308 nucleotides long. RefSeq lists it as uncharacterized. The record is from RefSeq and is a predicted model, not a curated record. Lineage: Eukaryota; Metazoa; Chordata; Mammalia; Rodentia; Muridae.
CAUCACAGAUCCCUCUGUAGUGUCCUUUCUUAGUUCUGCUGCUAACAGGGAAGAAUGGAGGAUGGCCAGCCAUGCAACCUGAAGCAGGCCUAGGCAAUGUCAGGAAGAGGAGCAGAAGGAAUACAAGAGCAAGAGAGGGGGGAAUGCCAUGAAAUUCUGCCAUCUGGAUAUGACACGAACAUUCCAACCAUGAGCACGAAGAGGCAAUGGAUAUCUGCCUAAGAUUGGGUCCUCCAACUUCCUAUAAAGAUCUAGAACUCGACUCCUCCAGCACCAUGUCUACCUGUGCACUGCCAUGCUUCCUGCUA